AACGAACGCUGGCGGCAGGCUUAACGCAUGCAAGUCGAGCGCCUCGCCAGAGGAUCGGCAGACUGGUGGGUAGCGCGUGGGGACGUACCCUUAUCUUCGGACUAGCUCUGGGAAACUGGAAGUAAUACCGAAUGUGCCCUUAGGGGGAAAGAUUUAUCGGAUAAGGAUCGGCCCGCGUUGGAUUAGCUAGUUGGUGGGGUAAAGGCCUACCAAGGCGACGAUCCAUAGCUGGUCUGAGAGGAUGAUCAGCCACAUUGGGACUGAGACACGGCCCAAACUCCUACGGAAGGGAGCAGUGGGGAACAUUGGGGAAGGGGCGCAAGUGUGAUCAAGCCAUGCCGGGUGAGUGAGGAAGGGCUUAGGGUUGUAAAGCUCUUUCACAGGAGAAGAGAAUGACGGUAACCGGAGAAGAAGCACCGGCUAACUACGUG
This 431-nucleotide ribosomal RNA is filed under the name uncultured bacterium. RNAcentral describes it as "partial 16S ribosomal RNA". It matches the Rfam family "Bacterial small subunit ribosomal RNA", at positions 29 to 507 of the family's 1533-position model. The record is from RNAcentral.